GCCCGGGUGGUGAAAUUGGUAGACGCAGGGGACUCCAAAAUCCCCCGCCGCAAGGCGUGCCGGUUCGAUUCCGGCCCCGGGCACCA
This 86-nucleotide transfer RNA is filed under the name Paracidovorax citrulli. Its description in RNAcentral is "tRNA-Trp". It matches the Rfam family "tRNA". From Rfam's summary of the family: Transfer RNA (tRNA) molecules are approximately 80 nucleotides in length. Their secondary structure includes four short double-helical elements and three loops (D, anti-codon, and T loops). Further hydrogen bonds mediate the characteristic L-shaped molecular structure. tRNAs have two regions of fundamental functional importance: the anti-codon, which is responsible for specific mRNA codon recognition, and the 3' end, to which the tRNAs corresponding amino acid is attached (by aminoacyl-tRNA synthetases). tRNAs cope with the degeneracy of the genetic code in two manners: having more than one tRNA (with a specific anti-codon) for a particular amino acid; and 'wobble' base-pairing, i.e. permitting non-standard base-pairing at the 3rd anti-codon position. Lineage: Bacteria; Pseudomonadati; Pseudomonadota; Betaproteobacteria; Burkholderiales; Comamonadaceae. The record is from RNAcentral.